GAUGAACGCUGGCGGCGUGCCUAAUACAUGCAAGUCGAGCGAACGGACGAGAAGCUUGCUUCUCUGAUGUUAGCGGCGGACGGGUGAGUAACACGUGGAUAACCUACCUAUAAGACUGGGAUAACUUCGGGAAACCGUAGCUAAUACCGGAUAAUAUUUUGAACCACAUGGUUCAAAAGUGAAAGACGGUCUUGCUGUCACUUAUAGAUGGAUCCGCGCUGCAUUAGCUAGUUGGUAAGGUAACGGCUUACCAAGGCAACGAUGCAUAGCCGACCUGAGAGGGUGAUCGGACACACUGGAACUGAGACACGGUCCAGACUCCUACGGGAGGCAGCAGUAGGGAAUCUUCCGCAAUGGGCGAAAGCCUGACGGAGCAACGCCGCGUGAGUGAUGAAGGUCUUCGGAUCGUAAAACUCUGUUAUUAGGGAAGAACAUAUGUGUAAGUAACUGUGCACAUCUUGACGGUACCUAAUCAGAAAGCCACGGCUAACUACGUG
This 497-nucleotide ribosomal RNA is filed under the name uncultured bacterium. RNAcentral describes it as "partial 16S ribosomal RNA". It matches the Rfam family "Bacterial small subunit ribosomal RNA", at positions 28 to 507 of the family's 1533-position model. The record is from RNAcentral.